GUAAAACAUCACAAUAGAGUGGCUCCAAGGUAAUUUGCCAGCAGUACCCAAGGCCAAGUCAAGUAAAUACCGACCUAGUGUCAGAUGUCUUGCCAAUCUACCUAUAUCCACAUCUAGUUGAUGUUGGGAGGACAUCAAUCUUAAGUUGAUUUUUUGUAUGCACCAGCAAAGCCCUCCGAGAUAACUAUUCCCCACAUGAGCCAACUUAUGAUCUCUCCACAGCUGGCUAAUC
This 232-nucleotide long non-coding RNA is filed under the name Elaeis guineensis (African oil palm). RNAcentral describes it as "long non-coding RNA (EGUI_LNC013510)". Lineage: Eukaryota; Viridiplantae; Streptophyta; Magnoliopsida; Arecales; Arecaceae. The record is from RNAcentral.